RNAcentral lists this transfer RNA (73 nucleotides) under Candidatus Woesearchaeota archaeon CG10_big_fil_rev_8_21_14_0_10_37_12. RNAcentral's name for it is "tRNA-Val". It matches the Rfam family "tRNA". Rfam says of the family: Transfer RNA (tRNA) molecules are approximately 80 nucleotides in length. Their secondary structure includes four short double-helical elements and three loops (D, anti-codon, and T loops). Further hydrogen bonds mediate the characteristic L-shaped molecular structure. tRNAs have two regions of fundamental functional importance: the anti-codon, which is responsible for specific mRNA codon recognition, and the 3' end, to which the tRNAs corresponding amino acid is attached (by aminoacyl-tRNA synthetases). tRNAs cope with the degeneracy of the genetic code in two manners: having more than one tRNA (with a specific anti-codon) for a particular amino acid; and 'wobble' base-pairing, i.e. permitting non-standard base-pairing at the 3rd anti-codon position. The record is from RNAcentral. Lineage: Archaea; Nanobdellati; Candidatus Woesearchaeota.
GAGCCCGUGGUCUAGUGGUUAUGACGCUUCGUUCACAGCGAAGAAAUCCCCAGUUCAAAUCUGGGCGGGCUCA